AUUACCGCGGCUGCUGGCACAGAGUUAGCCGGUGCUUAUUCUGUCGGUAACGUCAAGACAGCAAGGUAUUCGCUGACUGCCCUUCCUCCCAACUUAAAGUGCUUUACAAUCCGAAGACCUUCUUCACACACGCGGCAUGGCUGGAUCAGGCUUUCGCCCAUUGUCCAAUAUUCCCCACUGCUGCCUCCCGUAGGAGUCUGGACCGUGUCUCAGUUCCAGUGUGACUGAUCAUCCUCUCAGACCAGUUACGGAUCGUCGCCUUGGUGAGCCAUUACCUCACCAACUAGCUAAUCCGACCUAGGCUCAUCUGAUAGCGCAAGGCCCGAAGGUCCCCUGCUUUCUCCCGUAGGACGUAUGCGGUAUUAGCGUUCCUUUCGAAACGUUGUCCCCCACUACCAGGCAGAUUCCUAGGCAUUACUCACCCGUCCGCCGCUGAAUUCAGGAGCAAGCUCCUGUCAUCCGCUCGACUUGCAUGUGUUAGGCCUGCCGCCAGCGUUCAAUCUGAGCCAGGAUCAAACUCU
RNAcentral lists this ribosomal RNA (521 nucleotides) under uncultured endophytic bacterium. RNAcentral's name for it is "partial 16S ribosomal RNA". The record is from RNAcentral.